RNAcentral lists this long non-coding RNA (1785 nucleotides) under Lucilia cuprina (Australian sheep blowfly). RNAcentral's name for it is "uncharacterized LOC124419876". The record is from RNAcentral. Lineage: Eukaryota; Metazoa; Arthropoda; Insecta; Diptera; Calliphoridae.
UCAGUCUAUCUCUGAUCGCCCAAUGAUUAAAUUUAAAUAUUUUUAAGUACGAAGAGUUUUUUAUCUAAAAAGCAAGCAAAAUUUUUGAAAACGUUCAAUUGAUUGAAUUUUAUUUUUUCACUAAAAAAGGAAAAUAAAAUAAGAAAAACGAGGAAAGCAUUUUUUCUUCACCAAAAUCUAUAAGUAAAAUUUUAAAGAAAAAUUAAAAUAGCAACCAGCAACGAAACGAAUUACGUCAAUUUUAAAAGAUAUAUUUUCAACUACAACAACAACAACCUAUACACACAUUUGUGUUCACAUACAAUAAUUCAUACAUAUCGAGAAAAGUUAAAAGUAGAUAGAAAAAAAUAUAAAAUAAAAAUUGUUUGCAAAAGAACAGAAACAGUGGAGAUACAAUAGACAAUAAACUAAACGAAAAAAAAAAUACCGCCUACAUACACAUCAGAACAAGAGAACGAUCCAUACACGUUUAUUUUCAAAUACAAAAAAAAAAACUAAAUAAAAGAGGCGUAGUAGUUGUUACUCUUAAAACAAUUGAACUGUUUAAAGAAAAGAGCGAGCGCACUUGAAAGAGAUUUCAAUGAAAUUUUAAAUAAAAAACUUUUUUUAUCGAACGAAAAUAAAAUAACAAAAAAUUUUAUUUAACAAUUUACAGAGCGAUCAUACGAACGAAAAACAAAUUAAAGCCUUAAGAAACAAACAACAACAAAAAAAGAACCCUAAAAAAACAAAAAUUAACAACAGCAACAACAAUAAGCACAAAAUUAAACGUGAAGAAUUGUUUGCGAUUUUUCUCACAAGGAAAUAAUACAACAACAACAGCAACGUCAUACUAUAUAUUGAAAAAAGUAGCAACAAUAAAAAAGCUAUUUUUUUAAUUAUUUGAGGUUUUAUGGUGGGAAAAUCCAUUAAUAUUUAAAAAUAUUAAAGAAAAUAAAACCGCUACACACACUCACUUCACAACACAAGUAUUGCAGCAGCAACAACAACAGCACCAGCUACCAACAAUAAUAAAUAAAAAAAAUUGCAUCACAAAUUUGUUGUUGUAUAUCUUAAUAGCAGCAACAACAAGUGAGUAAAUAUAAAAAAGAAACCAACAUUAAAAAUAAAAGAGAGAAAAAAUACUAAAAUAAAAAGAUUGAUCGCCUAGACAGGUGCCGGCACGUUCAUAUAUAAUUAUUAUUUAAUAUUUUUUUCUUCAUUUGUUAUUGUUUAUUUAACCCGUGGUGUUGGACAUUUUUGUUUAAACGAAAUUCUUAAAAAAAAACACAUAACUCAAAUAAAUACGAAUAAAUUUCAACGAUCUAAGAAUAAAAGAAAAAAAUUAUAAAAAAAAUAUUAAACUAAAAACGAAUUAAAUAAAAAUUCAAUUAUAAAUUGCAAAAAAAAUAUAUUUAAUUAAUAUUCAACAAUUGUCUAAAAAAAACCCUUUUAUGUUAAAUCAAAACAAAAGAAAACACACAAAGUUACAAACACAUAAUCUAUAAUCUACAACAACAUAUAAACUAACCUGACAACGACUACGACGAAAACAUAAAAAAGUAAUAAAAAAAAACAAAAACAAACAAACAAAAGGUGCGAGAAAGAGGGAGAGAGCGACAUCGAGAGCUAAAACGACAAAAGAAAAACAAAAAAAAAUAUAUUCAAAUAUUCUUAUUUAAAAUUUAAAGCGGAAGAAUCGCAAGAAGGCAAACAUCACAAAUCCUAACGAAAAAGGAUUAUCAUCUACAAAAUACUCUUCGAAAACAUAUACGAUAACUAAUUAAAUAAGAAAAUAAAUAAUAA